GCGCCCGUAGCUCAACAGGAGAGAGCAUCGGAUUUCUAAUCCGAGGGUUGGGGGUUCGAGUCCCUCCGGGCGCG
RNAcentral lists this transfer RNA (74 nucleotides) under Thermotoga sp. Its description in RNAcentral is "tRNA-Arg". It matches the Rfam family "tRNA". Rfam says of the family: Transfer RNA (tRNA) molecules are approximately 80 nucleotides in length. Their secondary structure includes four short double-helical elements and three loops (D, anti-codon, and T loops). RNAcentral also lists the same sequence under 1 other name. Lineage: Bacteria; Thermotogati; Thermotogota; Thermotogae; Thermotogales; Thermotogaceae. The record is from RNAcentral.